GGAAGCGUGCCCGAGUGGCCCAAGGGCGCUGUUUCGAAAACAGAUGGUCCGGUGAUGAGCCGGCACGAGGGUUCGACUCCCUCCGCUUCCGCCA
Molecule: transfer RNA, 94 nt
Filed under: Polaromonas sp.
Lineage: Bacteria; Pseudomonadati; Pseudomonadota; Betaproteobacteria; Burkholderiales; Comamonadaceae
Description: tRNA-Ser
Rfam family: tRNA
About the family: Transfer RNA (tRNA) molecules are approximately 80 nucleotides in length. Their secondary structure includes four short double-helical elements and three loops (D, anti-codon, and T loops).
Source: RNAcentral